This 269-nucleotide ribosomal RNA is filed under the name uncultured microorganism. RNAcentral's name for it is "partial 16S ribosomal RNA". It matches the Rfam family "Bacterial small subunit ribosomal RNA", at positions 9 to 268 of the family's 1533-position model. The record is from RNAcentral.
GAGUUUGAUCGUGGCUCAGAUUGAACGCUGGCGGCAUGCCUUACACAUGCAAGUCGAACGGCAGCAUGAUCUAGCUUGCUAGAUUGAUGGCGAGUGGCGAACGGGUGAGUAAUACAUCGGAACGUGCCCUGUAGUGGGGGAGUAACUAGUCGAAAGAAUUAGCUAAUACCGCAUACGACCUGAGGGUGAAAGUAGGGGGACCGGCAAGGCCUCAUGCUAUAGGAGCGGCCGAUGUCUGAUUAGCUAGUUGGUGGGGUAAAGGGACCCGA